CAUCAUUUUACUUGGUUCAACAUGGAUUUAGUACAGUAACCAAUCUACUUACAAAUAAAGACAACAGUUGCAAAUAUGAAAUAACCAAAUAUAGGUACUAUGACUUCUCUUAAAAAUCAAACGAAACAUCUGUAAACUAAUAGUAUAACACCAAACACAUCCAUCUCAGUAAGGUAUUAUACUAUCUAUUUUAUUUACACAUUAUUAUACAUACACAAUAGAUUAAUGGUAUCAUUGCAUACUUCUGUGUUGUACUUUGAUCUUUUGGAGGGGUAC
This is a non-coding RNA of Cinara cedri, 276 nucleotides long. Lineage: Eukaryota; Metazoa; Arthropoda; Insecta; Hemiptera; Aphididae. The record is from the annotation of a GenBank genome assembly.